Molecule: ribosomal RNA, 348 nt
Filed under: uncultured Anaerolineaceae bacterium
Lineage: Bacteria; Bacillati; Chloroflexota; Anaerolineae; Anaerolineales; Anaerolineaceae
Description: bacterial SSU rRNA
Rfam family: Bacterial small subunit ribosomal RNA
Source: RNAcentral
UUCGGGGAGCUUAUACAGGUGUUGCAUGGCUGUCGUCAGCUCGUGUCGUGAGAUGUUCGGUUAAGUCCGCUAACGAGCGCAACCCUCGCCGUAUGUUACAAGUGUCAUACGGGACUGCCGGUAAAAAGCCGGAGGAAGGUGAGGAUGAUGUCAAGUCAGCAUGACCUUUAUAUCCAGGGCUACACACACGCUACAAUGGUCUGUACAAUUGGUUGCCAAGCCGCGAGGCGGAGCCAAUCCGUAAAGCAGGCCUCAGUUCAGAUUGCAGUCUGCAACUCGACUGCAUGAAGCCGGAGUUGCUAGUAACCGCAGGUCAGCAAUACUGCGGUGAAUACGUUCCCGGGUCUU